UCAUCUGACAUGAAGAACUGUUUUGUGUUUUUUGGCCUCAGAUUAUUUGUUUAUAUCUAAAGAGGGAGCAGGUCCUCCAGAUCCGGGGAUGUUCAGGUGGUUGCAUUCUGCCACAAAAUCUCACACCCUGGUCUGGUCUGAUUGUUCAAACACAGACAAUAUCAGACUGCCCCGAUAUUAAUCCAAUAAAAUCAUGUUAGUCCUGUUUGCUGAUGCACUACUGGCUUCAUGUUGAGUCAGGUACCUGUACCCUGGUAUCUGUUCCACAACAACAAUCUAUAAUUUCUUCCCAAUUUUUAUACAUUUUGUGUGAUUUCAGAAGAAAUGCAGCUGCUCAUCUGUCAAUCUCGCAGCCGCUCAUUAAAAACACUGCUCCUGCUCUUUCAUGCGAAGAAGCUCUUUACUGGAAUAAAUCCACUGCUACCAAAGUCAGCUGACAACCAUCUGUGUGAUAUCAGUCAUCUUGGAUCAUCACUGUUGGGUUUAGCGGAGCCAGAUAACUCAAAACGCAGCCCGACUGUGACAGCCUGUCGGGCCUCUGGCAGUAUCAGUCCCACACCGGUGGAACAACACAACACUAUGAACAACAAUUUAUCAAACGCCGCUACAGCACAGAUAUUUUAUUCACAUUUACAGCUUUGUCUUCCCGUCCCACCACCUGUUUUCUACAUGUUUCCCCCCCAACCUCGCUCAACAGAUUGAGUAGUUACAUUUUCUGCGCGCCAGAUGUUAAACUGGCAUCUAAUAGUGCUCUAAAAAAUAAAUGUCAGAAGCCGUAGACCUAUUGCUCCAUUAAAGAUCCGAUAUGCCUCAUGUGUGGCGUGACAAGUCGAUUGGAUGUCGUUUCGUUUAACGAGUGACCUUUGAUCGACACAUUCGAAUCUGUAAAUAUGUGCUCAUGUAAAUAUGUGGAUGCAGGAGCACCAUCUCCACAAACCACCACCUCUCUCUGUCUCUGCCUCCAGCUCUCUCUAAUGAUUCUGCGAAGGUGCUAAGUGUGAUUUGUCAUUUUACAGAUGCAGCGUUCUCGCCUUAAGGACUGCAGGAGUGCCUACACAAGUUCUUACACUCACACACACACACGACAACCGAACACACACAUAACACACAUCUCCAUCAUCAUCCCCGGCCUCCACACGUCGUGCCGAGGGGAGUCUGACCGGGUGUCUUGUCUGACUGUGUACAAGCACACACACACACACACACUCUUGAUCUCUCUCUCUCUGGGGCAACCAUGACAAGAAAAGUCUGCUGCUUGUUAGAUGGAUGGCAGUGACCCUGAAGGAGGAGGAGGAGGAGGAGGAGGCAACUUGAGGAAAGAAAGAAAGUGAGACACACGGCAAGAGAGAAAUGAAAAGUGGAAAGAAGACACACAAAAUACAGAAAAGAGACAGAGAGGGUAGAUGAAGUUUACCAUUUUCAAUUUGAGAACAAGAUAGUGGGAAUCCGAGUGGGAGGGCAGAGAGAGGAUAUGACACACUACCAUCCACAAAUGUAUGAUUGUCAGGGCGACUGUUUCGGCAGCUCAGAUCACCACCUCUGUCUGUACUUCAGCAGCUCGCGGGCCACAAAUAAAAAAAGAAGUGGCUGACUUCAGCAGUAUCCUGCGGAGAUUAUUAUUUCCAAAUACAGUGAAUAUGAAAUAGGGCACAACCCCCAUAUAUAGAACCUCUGCAGAACUUUGCAUUUUUGCUAAGUUGUGACUUUGCAUUCUUGUAAAAACUCACUGAAAGAUGUUAGUUAAAGUGUAAAUAGUAAUAUUUCAGUUUGUACUUUUGACUGCUGCAUGUAGCCGGAGUGGAAGAUGGCUUUGGUGAGGUUUGUUUUUGGUUUUUUUUUCAUUGACACGAAUGCUUCGAUGCUUUGAAGUUGUUGCCAUGGUAAUCGAGGUCCAAGUCUGCAUUGGAGAGCUUCAAUAGUUGUGUGAAUGGAAGUGUGUGGGAACAACAACUGUCCAACUUUGCUGUGGUUGAAGAGCUUUGACAGGACAUCUUUCUGGAACAUCCAUUUUGCUCUUUUCAAAGUGGCAACUGUUCUGGUGUUUGUGUCACCUUCUGUCUGAGCUGUACUCCAAUGAAUCAAAACAAUGAGAGACAAAAAAUAAAAAUAUAUAGAUCUGAUGCACCACAAGAACCGGAUCAGUUUUUUUGUUGCCCUUGAAGAGAAAUAAAUAGAAAAUAAUGACAUGAAAGUCUUGCAAAAUGGGAGAUUAUAGGUAUACAUUUGAAUCAUAAUGGACUAUUCACAGUUUAAAGGAACAUAUUAGUUUAUCUACUCACCCUCAUGUCCACUGAAAGUCCAGUGAAUAUUUGUGUCCCACGAUUUGUGUUCUCCUGAACCAUUUCUGCGUCUUCACUGUAGCUGAUCUGAAGUGGGUUUGCGAGCUUGACUGCAUGAGAAGAUUUUAAUUAAUGUCUUUUCAAAUCAAUUUGGAAUCUCGGGGCUUCCGGGGACUUGAUUCAUGCCAAACAAGCUGUAUAGAGCCAUCUCAGGUUUGUCGUCGUUUCUCCCACAUUUUCACAAAGCUUCAUUUCUCUGCGUCCUGCUCCUUUAACUGAGUUCACCCACACGUUUAAAUUAAGUCUUGAAUUUGUUUCUUCAUACCCGCCUGCUGUCAGUGUGAAUUCCUAGAAUUUAAUAUGCCAUCCUGUGGGUUUUUAUAUUUAACACUUGAUUGACAGGCAGCCUAAUUAGCAUCAAGUGCUUGAAAUGCUGCCAUCCUGUCCUGUUUUAAAAAAAAAAAGAAAAGAAAAAAGCAUAAUUUAGGAGGAAAGAAGAUCCGUGUUACAGCAUUGUCACGCAUGUAUGUAUUUAAAAAGGUGAGUAAUCAGUGUUUACAUCUGUUUAUCCUCCACUGCACAUCAGCUUAAACACUGUUAUUGGUUUAAUUGUAAUGUACACGGGAGUUAAUACUAACGUUCACCGUGAUGUUUGCGAUGGGAUGGCACAGAAUGCACAUGAGACGAGGAGGGAGCUGGUGGAAUGAUUAGUAGAUCAGAUGAGGUGGAAGAAUUCUCUGAAAUGAAAUAUGGGUGGAAUAAGAAGAAGGAGAGAGAAGAGCACUCCGGGAGAAUUAUAAUGUUGAAAUGAAUUAAUGCCUGGCUGGAUGAAUGAAUCACCAACCCGUCAGAGAGUAGGGGGGAACGGAUGUGGAAAAUAAGGAAGAGGGGGGGAAAAAAGGAGGAGGAGAAAAGAUGAGAGACAAUAAAAUAAGAAGGAGAGAGGUGAGAAAGUAAAGGGAAGAAGAGGGAGUGUGAGAGAUGAGAUGGAGAAUUAAAAGAAAACAUUGACAAAAAGGCCAAAAAGUGAGAUUUAAUCCAGUAGUGUAACUGGAAAACAUGUUUAAAUAAUCAGCAGACAUCCACGACAGAAGAAGUCAUCCACAGUGUUCAAGAUGUUUUUAUCCUGGUCUCUGACUAAACUCCCACUGCAUGAACCCAACGAGAUGAUGGCUCCCGUCAAUGAAACAGCCAAGAACUGCAGAAGAAAGACCCUGUUGCCCGAGACACCUGAUAUGAGGCUUUCUUUGUGGAACAUCGGUGAUGAAUAACAAGGUUUAAAGUUCAACUGGCAAGUUGCUUCAAAUUGUCAUUCUGAAAUAAAUGCUAGUUGGAAACUGUGAUGGCUGUAGAAAAAUCACAUCCAUUUACAUGCUUAUAAAUUGGCUCUAUGAACCUUGUUUUAACUGACCGGAUUCUUCCCAUUAAAGGGAAGGUCACUUUAUGGCGCAAAGGAAGUGUGUCUGCCAUUGCACAACCAAAACAGGAAGAGGUCAAGUUUUGCCUGGUUGCCAUCCCAAGAUAGCACUGGAACAGCUGUCGAUACUGUAAACAUGUUCUCGAUUCCAACUCGUCAAAUUCAGCAGAAAAUAUUAAAGAAUGGCUUCAAGGUGAAAGGAGGCAGACGGGGACACAGACAGGGAGGAAGGGGACAGUUGUCUCUCGAGAUCUCUAAAAUGCCAUCAGACAUCAUAAAUCUGAAAUAAAGGAAGAAAGUGAAAAGUGAGAUCCUUUUUUAUGUUCUACUUUUGGGAAAACCAAAGGUUUGGGAGAAGUUUUACAAGCCUGCAGCAUUGAAAAACCUCCCUCCAGCCCCCAAAAUGUUGUGACUGAGGAAGUGAGAUAAGCAUGGAGCCCUGUUUUGACCUCUGAUAGAUAACAACACAAAGCGAAACAGAAGAUAUCAAGCAAUGCACCUGAGACAGAGACAUGGAAACAGAGAGGAAAUCAUGAGGCGGGGAAGAGGAAAAGCGAGGGAUGAAAAGGAGAGUCUGGGAUGUAACGAAAGGUCACCUGUGUGACAGCGUGAAGUAAAUGAAAAGAGACAAUGUAAAGUGGUAAAGGGGGAAGGAGUCAUGAGAUCGAGGACCAUGGAAAUGAAAGAAAAUGAAAGGGGAAAGAAAAGAUGACCAGUGUGACGAGAGGCGGCGUCAGAGAGAGCUGAGAGAGGUCUGCUGAACAGCGCGGCGCUCAGUCCACCGGGGCAAACGCCCGGCUUGUGUCACAUGUCUUUGGCAUUACAGCGAUUUGGACGGCGAUUCUGACACGACAACAUGGGAUACGCAAAUAAACCGAGAGCCCACAUGCCGAGGCUGCAGGGCCAGCUGAGAAGAGAAAAACAAAAACUGAAGCAGAGGACGGGUGCCGAAGAAUGAGAAGAGGACGAUACAAAAGGAACAGAAUGAGGCAAAUGAAAACUACAGUGGCUUUAAAUAUUG
Acanthopagrus latus (yellowfin seabream) is the source of this 4717-nucleotide long non-coding RNA. RefSeq lists it as uncharacterized. The transcript has 3 exons. NCBI's taxonomy places the organism in Eukaryota, Metazoa, Chordata, Actinopteri, Spariformes, Sparidae. The record is from RefSeq and is a predicted model, not a curated record.